GAUGAACGCUGGCGGCGUGCCUAAUACAUGCAAGUCGAGCGAACAGGCCCUGAGCUUGCUCCUUUCACGUUUGCGGAGGACGGGUGAGUCACGCGUGGAUAACCUACCUAUAAUACUGGUAUCAUCUCGGGAAACCGGCUAUUAUCCCGUAUGAGCUUUUGCACCACAUUGUUGGAUAGUGAAAUUUGGCUUUUGUAGCACUUAUAGCUGGUCCUGCGCCGUAUUAGGUAGUUGGUAAGGUCAAGGCUUACCAAGGCAACCAUACGUAGCCGACCUGAGAGGGUGAUCGGCGACACUGGAACGGAGACACGGUCCAGACGCCUACGGGAGGCAGCAGUAGGGAAUCGUCCGCAAUGGGGGAAAGCAUGACGGAGCAACGCCGCGUGAGUGAUGAAGGUCUUCGGAUCGUAAAACUCUGUUAUUAGGGAAGAAUAAACGUGUAAGUAACUGUGCACGUCUUGACGGUACCUAAUCAGAAAGCCACGGCUAACUACGUG
This 497-nucleotide ribosomal RNA is filed under the name uncultured bacterium. Its description in RNAcentral is "partial 16S ribosomal RNA". It matches the Rfam family "Bacterial small subunit ribosomal RNA", at positions 28 to 507 of the family's 1533-position model. The record is from RNAcentral.